This 404-nucleotide ribosomal RNA is filed under the name uncultured bacterium. Its description in RNAcentral is "bacterial SSU rRNA". It matches the Rfam family "Bacterial small subunit ribosomal RNA", at positions 355 to 776 of the family's 1533-position model. The record is from RNAcentral.
UGAGGAAUAUUGGACAAUGGGGGAAACCCUGAUCCAGCCAUGCCGCGUGAAUGAUGAAGGCCUUAGGGUUGUAAAGUUCUUUCGCUGAUGAAGAUAAUGACGGUAAUCAGUAAAGAAGCCCCGGCUAACUUCGUGCCAGCAGCCGCGGUAAUACGAAGGGGGCUAGCGUUGUUCGGAAUCACUGGGCGUAAAGCGCGCGUAGGCGGAUAUGUAAGUCAGAGGUGAAAGCCCAGGGCCCAACCCUGGAAUUGCCUUUGAAACUACAUAUCUAGAGACUCGGAGGGGAUAGUGGAAUUCCUAAUGUAGGGGUGAAAUCCGUAGAGAUUAGGAGGAACACCAGUGGCGAAGGCGGCUAUCUGGACGAGUACUGACGCUGAGGUGCGAAAGCGUGGGGAGCAAACAGG